This 511-nucleotide ribosomal RNA is filed under the name uncultured bacterium. Its description in RNAcentral is "partial 16S ribosomal RNA". It matches the Rfam family "Bacterial small subunit ribosomal RNA", at positions 28 to 523 of the family's 1533-position model. The record is from RNAcentral.
GAUGAACGCUGGCGGCAUGCCUAAUACAUGCAAGUCGAACGAGAGGAAGGAAAGCUUGCUUUUCUGAAUCUAGUGGCGAACGGGUGAGUAACACGUAGGUAACCUGCCCAUGUGCCCGGGAUAACUUCUGGAAACGGAUGCUAAACCGGAUAGGUAGCAGACAAGCAUUUGACUGCUAUCAAAGUGGCUAAGGCCAUGAACAUGGAUGGACCUGCGGUGCAUUAGCUAGUUGGUGAGGUAACGGCCCACCAAGGCGACGAUGCAUAGCCGGCCUGAGGGGGCGGACGGCCAGAUUGGGACUGAGACACGGCCCAAACUCCUACGGGAGGCAGCAGUAGGGAAUUUUCGUCAAUGGGGGGAACCCUGAACGAGCAAUGCCGCGUGAGUGAGGAAGGUCUUCGGAUCGUAAAGCUCUGUUGUAAGAGAAAAACGACAUUCAUAGGGAAUGAUGAGUGAGUGAUGGCAUCUUACCAGAAAGUCACGGCUAACUACGUGCCAGCCGCCGCGGUAA